GGCGCAGGGGCAGGCCCGGGCGGGGGGCCCCGGAGCCGGCGCGGCCUCGGCCCCGUCGGGGAGGCCGGGGGUCGGCCAGGGCGGGGCGAUGCCGGGCGGCGGCGGCGGCGGCCCCUACCGGGGCCCGUGACCAUGGGCAUCGCCGAGUCCACGCCGGACGAGCUGCCGUCGGACGCGGAGGAGCAGCUGCGCAGCGGCGAGCAGCAGCUGGAGCUGAGCGGGAGGCGGCUGCGGCGGCUGCCCAGCGCCGUGUGCGCGCUGAGCCGCCUGCAGAAGCUGUACGUGAGCGGCACGGGGCUGCGCGAGCUGCCCGAGGAGAUCGAGGAGCUGCGCGAGCUGCGCAUCCUGGCGCUCGACUUCAACAAACUCGAGCGCCUGCCCGACGGCCUGUGUCGCCUGCCGCGCCUCACGCGCCUCUACCUGGGCGGCAACAGGCUGCUGGCGCUGCCCGCCGACUUCGCGCAGCUGCAGAGCCUGCGCUGCCUCUGGAUCGAGGGCAACUUCCUGCGGCGCUUCCCGCGGCCGCUGCUGCGCCUGGUGGCGCUACAGUCGCUGCAGAUGGGCGAUAACCGGCUGCGCGCGCUGCCCGCCGAGCUGCCGCGCAUGACGGGCCUGCGUGGCCUCUGGCUCUACGGGAACCGCUUCGAGGAGUUCCCGCCCGCGCUGCUGCGCAUGGGCCGCCUGCACAUCCUCGACCUGGACCGCAACCGCCUGGGCGGCUUCCCCGACCUGCACCCGCUGCGCGCCCUGCGCGUCUUCUCCUACGACCACAACCCGGUGACCGGGCCCCCGCGCGUCGCUGACACCGUCUUCCUCGUGGGCGAGGGCGCCGUCGAGCGCAUGGCCGAGCGCGACGAGCCCACGCCCCGGCCGCCGCCCCGGCGCCCAGCGCGAGCCUUUGAGGAUGAGGAGGAAGAAGACUUGCUCAUAGGGGGCGGGGGCUCCCGGGCUCUGGGGUCCCCCAGAGGCAGCCUCCGUGCCCUGGAAGCCGCUCCAGGACUGGGCACCUGAGCCUAAGCUCUGGGUGAUGGACUUUGGCCACUUUGGGAGGAGGGGCUCUGGGAGGGGCUGUGAGACCGGUGGACCCCGACUUGGGGCAGAGGAGUGACCACUUUGGGCCAGCUGCCGGUGACACAUAGGCCUGGGGGCCGUCUUCCCAGGUAGUAAGAAGACUGCCUCCUGGCUGAUCCCUGGGCAGUCAUCAGACCAAGAAGUCCCAGCUCCAUUCAGUCCCCUUUAGCCCUGUCUAGUCUCUGAUAGAGUCACUGACACUACAACAGAGGUACCAGCUUCCUCCUGGAACCAGAGUCCCCGCUGUCUGGCGUCACCACCUCGGCUGAGCCUGGAUGGCCGGGCUGCCCACCAACCUCCCUCCUCCUGGAGUUUGGAUCUCCUAGAGCCACCCUUUCUGGUGCAGGAGCCACUACCUCUGGGUGGACCAAUGUCUGUGGGAGGCAGCACUGCCCUUGGAGGAGGCCCUGGCCCAGGGCCAGGGGCUUGGAGCUGGGGCCGGUGCCCAGGACAGAAAUGCUGGUGCCUGGAAUCUUGCUGGGAGCACACUCUCCCUUCCCCACAGCCUGAGCCUUCCAGCUGUCAAGUUUGAAAAGAAGCCACUGUGCCUCUAGGGCCUGCUGCACCCAAGAGAGAGGCUGCUCUACACCUCUCCCACUGCCUGCACUCUCCAUUCCCUUAAAUGGGCACCGUCAGAGUGGCUGGCACGGCGCGGGGCACGGACGAGCAUGGUGUGCCUCCACUCCGUCACCAGGGACAGCCUCAAGGGGGUGAGGAGUGGGGCCUCGCUCUGCAAUUCCCAGGGCCAGAUCUUUCCCAUCCAAGCAAUAAUGGGAGGAGGGAGCCAGGGCUGGGGACACUCAGGGACACUGUCAGGGGCAGGGACCCCACAUGGUAAUGUUUUCUUUAGGAAGAAAAAAAAAAAACUGGCUGUAAA
This is an RNA transcript of Equus quagga, 1948 nucleotides long. It is a transcript of the gene named leucine rich repeat containing 10B, with no coding region annotated. NCBI's taxonomy places the organism in Eukaryota, Metazoa, Chordata, Mammalia, Perissodactyla, Equidae. The transcript is spliced from 2 exons. The record is from RefSeq and is a predicted model, not a curated record.